CAAUAGCGUAUAUUAAAGUUGUUGCGGUUAAAAAGCUCGUAGUUGGAGUUCUGCCAGGUGCCGCCUGUCCGCCCCAGUGGUGAGUACGUGGCGCGCAUUUGGCCCUUUCAAGGGGAGCGUAUCUGCACUUUAUUGUGUGGUGCGGGAUCCUUGACUUUUACUUUGAGGAAAUAGGAGUGUUCCAAGCAGGCUCUCGUCGUGCACAGCUCAGCAUGGAAUAAUAGCAUUGGACCUCGAUUCUAAGCUGUUGGUUGCCAGAAGCGAGGUAAUGAUGAAGAGGGAUAGUUGGGGGCAUUCGUAUUUAACUGUCAGAGGUGAAAUUCUUGGAUUUGAUAAAGACGGACUACUGCGAAAGCAUCUGCCAUGGAUGUUUUCAUUGA
RNAcentral lists this ribosomal RNA (380 nucleotides) under uncultured eukaryote. RNAcentral describes it as "partial 18S ribosomal RNA". It matches the Rfam family "Eukaryotic small subunit ribosomal RNA", at positions 592 to 976 of the family's 1831-position model. The record is from RNAcentral.